This is a long non-coding RNA of Scylla paramamosain (green mud crab), 916 nucleotides long. RefSeq lists it as uncharacterized. The transcript is spliced from 3 exons. The record is from RefSeq and is a predicted model, not a curated record. Lineage: Eukaryota; Metazoa; Arthropoda; Malacostraca; Decapoda; Portunidae.
CACAGCCUGCAAAAAAUAAGAUUAAAUAAGUGGCACCUCCGAGGCUGCGACAAUGCAGCCGUCUGUCCUUCACGUCAGCUACACGCAUAGCAGCACAUCAACGAGUCCCAUACGUUUUCAACUCCUCUGACGGCCUGGCGUCCCCGCUCGGCCCCUUCCACGACUCGCAGCGAGAGAGAAAGGUCGAGGUGUGGUGGUCUUGUGGCGGAAGGCUGAAGGAGGCGGUGAAGGAGUGAAGGUGUGAAGUGUGUGGCUUCCACUUCACCAUCCUAUGAACAGCCUGCAGGAAUCUCUAUCAGCUCCUGCUUCUGCAAUAUUGGUAUCUGGUUACCAAAUAGUGCUGUCACACUGGGCCUGACAUACUCCAUUGCAAUUGGGGAAUGAAGCUUCACCAGGAAGACGCCAAGCAUCACGACCUUCAAGCCUUCAAGCCCUACAAGAGGUGUUAAGUAUUGUCAGGACAAAACAGAGGGCCUGGUACAAGAGUUUUCAUUGCAAUCAAGGAAGAGUAAAGUUGCAGUAAGAAGAGUGUGUCAAGAAUUUUAAACAGGAGGAAGACUGUCAAGCAGUUGACGGCAGGAAGAACGCAUGAAAUUCCCUUAAGUCAUGGCAGGACUGAAAGGCAACCUUCAUUCAACAUCUGCAGAGGCACAAGAGUUGUGGGCAGUUUUACCAGGAAGAGUUUGCUCCUCCCUCAAGCUGACACAAAGACACAAGAAUUUGCAAGUGUUGUUCCUGCGAGACCCUGCUGCAAAUGUUCUCCAAUCCACUCCAGUCUGGGAAGGAAGAAUGUAGGAAGUCCCUCUCUUCUGUACUCAACAAGCACCACCACCACCAUCACCUUCAUUCAGGCUUGGGACAAGUUUUGUACAUUCCAACACUUCAGUAAUAAAGAAAACAAAUGCCAUGUUUAUUA